GAUGAACGCUGGCGGCGUGCCUAAUACAUGCAAGUCGAGCGAACGGACGAGAAGCUUGCUUCUCUGAUGUUAGCGGCGGACGGGUGAGUAACACGUGGAUAACCUACCUAUAAGACUGGGAUAACUUCGGGAAACCGGAGCUAAUACCGGAUAAUAUUUUGAACCGCAUGGUUCAAAAGUGAAAGACGGUCUUGCUGUCACUUAUAGAUGGAACCGCGCUGCAUUAGCUAGUUGGUAAGGUAACGGCUUACCAAGGCAACGAUGCAUAGCCGACCUGAGAGGUUGAUCGGCCACACUGGAACUGAGACACGGUCCAGACUCCUACGGGAGGCAGCAGUAGGGAAUCUUCCGCAAUGGGCGAAAGCCUGACGGAGCAACGCCGCGUGAGUGAUGAAGGUCUUCGGAUCGUAAAGCUCUGUUAUUAGGGAAGAACAUAUGUGUAAGUAACUGUGCACAUCUUGACGGUACCUAAUCAGAAAGCCACGGCUAACUACGUG
This 497-nucleotide ribosomal RNA is filed under the name uncultured bacterium. RNAcentral describes it as "partial 16S ribosomal RNA". It matches the Rfam family "Bacterial small subunit ribosomal RNA", at positions 28 to 507 of the family's 1533-position model. The record is from RNAcentral.